Molecule: ribosomal RNA, 376 nt
Filed under: Salmonella enterica subsp. enterica serovar Saintpaul
Lineage: Bacteria; Pseudomonadati; Pseudomonadota; Gammaproteobacteria; Enterobacterales; Enterobacteriaceae
Description: partial 23S ribosomal RNA
Rfam family: Bacterial large subunit ribosomal RNA
Source: RNAcentral
AAUGCUGACAUAAGUAACGAUAAAGCGGGUGAAAAGCCCGCUCGCCGGAAGACCAAGGGUUCCUGUCCAACGUUAAUCGGGGCAGGGUGAGUCGACCCCUAAGGCGAGGCCGAAAGGCGUAGUCGAUGGGAAACGGGUUAAUAUUCCCGUACUUGGUGUUACUGCGAAGGGGGGACGGAGAAGGCUAUGUUGGCCGGGCGACGGUUGUCCCGGUUUAAGCGUGUAGGUGUGUGUUCCAGGUAAAUCCGGUUCACUUUAACACUGAGGCGUGACGACGAGGCACUACGGUGCUGAAGCAACAAAUGCCCUGCUUCCAGGAAAAGCCUCUAAGCAUCAGGUAACAUCAAAUCGUACCCCAAACCGACACAGGUGGUCA